Molecule: long non-coding RNA, 487 nt
Organism: Haliotis rubra (blacklip abalone)
Lineage: Eukaryota; Metazoa; Mollusca; Gastropoda; Lepetellida; Haliotidae
Exons: 2
Source: RefSeq, a predicted model, not a curated record
GGGCACACGAGACAGAGUCAGUUAAUCCAACAAAGAAGAAAGAUGGUGGUCACAAGACUGCAUUUGACACAAAGUGGCAACAAAACCGUCCCUGGUCGAGGAAAUCAGAAGAUGACAAAAAGAAGGGAAUGAAAGCAGAAAUGGACUUAAUGUCGACCAAACACAGAUUGAGUGGAGUCAAGUAAAGGAGCUUGACACCAGUUCACCCUCCACCAUUUUGAAGACUCAAGCCUCAAAUUGGAAACUUGAAUCAAAAAAUUGUUCAAUUACCUUGAUUACUGUCCAUUCAUGCAACUGUGAUUGUCCACUUCUGAAGUUGAGAGAGUGUUCUCAAAAGUGAAACUGAUUGUGACAGAUCAUAGAAACAGACUCACUGUUCAAAAUUGCAACAGACUUCUCAUGAUUAGCCUGAAUGCAUCGUCAGUUUCAGACAUUGACUUGAUGAAAGUUGUGAACAGAUACUUGGCAAGAAAGAACAGAAGACUGU